RNAcentral lists this ribosomal RNA (498 nucleotides) under uncultured bacterium. RNAcentral describes it as "partial 16S ribosomal RNA". It matches the Rfam family "Bacterial small subunit ribosomal RNA", at positions 29 to 523 of the family's 1533-position model. The record is from RNAcentral.
AUUGAACGCUGGCGGAAUGCUUUACACAUGCAAGUCGAGCGGCAGCGCGGGGCAACCUGGCGGCGAGCGGCGAACGGGUGAGUAAUGCAUCGGAAUGUACCCAGUCGUGAGGGAUAACACAGCGAAAGUUGUGCUAAUACCGCAUACGUCCUGAGGGAGAAAGCGGGGGAUCGCAAGACCUCGCGCGAUUGGAGCAGCCGAUGUCAGAUUAGCUAGUUGGUGAGGUAAAGGCUCACCAAGGCGACGAUCUGUAGCGGGUCUGAGAGGAGGACCCGCCACACUGGAACUGGGACACUGUCCAGACUCCUACGGGAGGCAGCAGUGGGGAAUUUUGGACAAUGGGCGAAAGCCUGAUCCAGCCAUUCCGCGUGAGUGAAGAAGGCCUUCGGGUUGUAAAGCCCUUUCGGCAGGAACGAAACGGACGUCUCUAACAUAGAUGGCUAAUGACGGUACCUGAAGAAGAAGCACCGGCUAACUACGUGCCAGCCGCCGCGGUAA